UUUCCGUWGGUGAACCUGCGGAAGGAUCAUUACCGAGUGCGGGCCCCUCGGGGCCCAACCUCCCACCCGUGUUGCCCGAACCUAUGUUGCCUCGGCGGGCCCCGCGCCCGCCGACGGCCCCCCUGAACGCUGUCUGAAGUUGCAGUCUGAGACCUAUAACGAAAUUAGUUAAAACUUUCAACAACGGAUCUCUUGGUUCCGGCAUCGAUGAAGAACGCAGCGAAAUGCGAUAACUAAUGUGAAUUGCAGAAUUCAGUGAAUCAUCGAGUCUUUGAACGCACAUUGCGCCCUCUGGUAUUCCGGAGGGCAUGCCUGUCCGAGCGUCAUUGCUGCCCUCAAGCCCGGCUUGUGUGUUGGGCCCCGUCCCCCCCGCCGGGGGGACGGGCCCGAAAGGCAGCGGCGGCACCGCGUCCGGUCCUCGAGCGUAUGGGGCUUCGUCACCCGCUCUAGUAGGCCCGGCCGGCGCCAGCCGACCCCCAACCUUUAAUUAUCUCAGGUUGACCUCGGAUCAGGUAGGGAUACCCGCUGAACUUAA
Molecule: ribosomal RNA, 535 nt
Filed under: Penicillium citrinum
Lineage: Eukaryota; Fungi; Ascomycota; Eurotiomycetes; Eurotiales; Aspergillaceae
Description: eukaryotic LSU rRNA
Source: RNAcentral